Long non-coding RNA from Papaver somniferum (opium poppy), 2479 nucleotides. RefSeq lists it as uncharacterized. The transcript is spliced from 2 exons. Lineage: Eukaryota; Viridiplantae; Streptophyta; Magnoliopsida; Ranunculales; Papaveraceae. The record is from RefSeq and is a predicted model, not a curated record.
AUCAUUUUCUCAUCAUUUCUCUUUUCUUUUCCACCUGAAAACCGAGAGAGGAUGGCGACUGCAGUUCAGAGAGAAUUCAUGGGGAGAUUGAAACUGAAUCUGCUGCAAUUGAAGUUAGGUUUGAUUUGAAUUCGAAUCUGGUGUUAUGUUAAAGGUUGUUGUUGCCAGAAAUGAAGAUUGAGGGAGGAAAUACAAAUCAAAUCGUAGAUAGAGAAGAUGAUACUGCCAUAGAUUGAUGGAAGAAUCGGAUCUGCUAUUGUUGGUGGCAAAUUGGAAGAGUUGGUGAAGAUUAAUGGCAAUUCAGAGCUUAUGAAGGAUAAUAGAGAUGGGGUUUUGAUGAAUUUACCUCCAAGAGCAGGGAAUGAAAAAAUUGAGAUGAAUUUGAUGGUUAGGGUUUGCCUUGAAUUUGUGGUCUGCUGUAAAGAUUGAGAAGUUGUUACUGAUGGAGUUUGAAUGAGAUGCCAGGGAGACAACAAAGAUGAACUGGAGCUAAAUCAGUUGCAGGUGCAGUUCAAGGAGAAAAUGAAGAAACUACAGAUACAGAUGCUUCCAUGGAUGUAUGUUAGGACACAGGGUCUUGGCAGUGACAAGUUGGAAGCUGAGAUAGUUCUGAAUCUAAGAAAAAAUGAACUGGGUGAAUGAGAUUGUAAAUGGGGUUUGCUGUGAUUUGUUGAUGCUGGUAAUUGUCAUGGGUUGAAUGGAAGGUGCAGCUAUGUAGAAGAAGGUUAUCACAACUGAAGAUUCAUGGGCACUGUAUAAAGAAGCACAAGUGGUGGCUGCUCUCAGUCUUGGAGAUUAUGGAGUUACAAGGAACAUGGGUUUUGACUGAGAUGGAUAAUGGGAGACGAAGUUCAGAGUUUGAACUGAUUGCAGGAACUGGAGUUGCUCAAAUGGCAAGGUUACAAGGAGAAGCUGAGUUGAGCUGAUAUAUUGCAGGUUGUUGUGCUAACUGGAUUAUGGAGUAACUUUGAAGCAUAAAAUGGUUGUGGACUGCAGAGUAGUCAAGGCUGAUGCUGCUGUUGGUAUUGCGAGCAGUUUGUGCAGGAAAUUGAAUUGGUGAUGCAUGAAAUGGAGCUACAGAUUAUUAGUAGGCUGCAAAUGGAAUGAAGUGAAACAAUGAACCUUAGAUAUAUGUUAGGAUGAAUUCGCAGGGUCACUUACUAGUAAGUCUGUGAGAAGAGGGUAAAGAUGGUUGUGUGCAGUGAGGCCAUGGAAGAUUGCGAAGUAUCUGAAAUGAGAAUGACGUUGGUAGAAUGAGCUGCAGACAGUGGUGAGCUGAUACUGAUCAAUGAUUGAAGCUAAUGGGUAAUGUUGAAUGUGGGUUUUAAUCUCAAUUCAGGGAAGACAGGUUAAGGAUGUGCUGCAGAUAGUGCUGGCAGCUUGGCUGUGUUGCAGAAGUUAGGAUAUGCUGAUGGUUAAGGGCAUGCUGUUGGUGUUUGAAGCCAGGAAUGGAGUUAGUUGAGUCUGAUGCUAAACUAGAGCUGAGCGCUAGUCAUGGUCCGAAAACUGCAGAAUGGAUGUGGUGCAGGAAUUAAAUGUUGUUGUUACAGGGUACUAUCUUGAUGCAGAGAGCCUGAGAUGUUAGUAAGGGAAUGACAGAAGUAUGGCUGGAGUGUUGUGCAGUGUGGUGCUGUGUUGAGCUAUUGGAGCUGUUAAUGAAGCUACAGAUGAUGCAGGAAAUGGUGAAUUGCAGCUAGAACGGCUGCGCUGCAGAUCAUGGUAUUGAUGGUUUGAGGUUGUAGAAUUAAGCUUGAAUGGAUGUAUGAACUGAAUGCAGGGAAGAUGGUUACAAAGAUUGUGUGGAUUCAGGGUCGAAACUCAACUGAAAUGGCUCGAAAAUGUUGCAAGAUUUGUAGUAUGAAGGGCAAUCAUGGCUGGCGGUGAAGCACAAUGAUGGUGCACCACAAGAUGGCUGGCCAAGGAGCUGUGAUGCACAAUCAUUGUGCAACACAGUUUAUGGCAUGUGCAAGAUUGCAAUGGCUUUGGCCUUGGCCACUCAGCCCAUUCAGCCCAGCUGAGUCUGACUUGUCAUCUAACUCAUCUAUCUGAUUCACCUUGACUCGGUUGACUUGACCGAGUUGACUUGUUGACCCGACCGAGUUGACUCGUUGACCAGGGACCAGGUGGACUUUGCCGAUCACCUGAGCUGUUUUCCGGUCAGUUUUUCGGCCGAUUUCCGACCAGUUUCCGACGUUAAUUUUUGGACAUAUUUUCUACAUGGGUUCUCCACACACAUGGGCUUGGUGGACUUCUUGGUGAUGGGCUUUUGAAGACUUGACCUAAGAAGAGCUACAAAAAGAAAAGUUUUUUACUUUCUUAAGAAUUACGUAUUAUUUUCUAUUUGGAACUUUGGAGAGCGGCUAUACAACUAGGGUUUGCUUUCGUUUAUUUUUCAUCUUCUUCAAUUAUUUUAUGAUGAUGAUUAUGAUGAACUCUAUUAUUAUGAGUAACUAAACUCAAUUAUUGGUUAUGGGAUAAA